This 779-nucleotide unclassified non-coding RNA is filed under the name Hevea brasiliensis (rubber tree). Lineage: Eukaryota; Viridiplantae; Streptophyta; Magnoliopsida; Malpighiales; Euphorbiaceae. The record is from RNAcentral.
GGCAGCAAUUAAAGAAUUUUACAGGUAUCUCAUGCAUGCAAUUAAUAUCCAAGCAUUUAUCUUUUGUUGGUUUUGGUGCUGCUUUGUUAGUCAAUAAUUUGAUGAAUGCUCUAAUAUAUAGUUUCUCCAAUAUGUUGUGUGGUCAGAUAUGUCACUGAUCAAAUUUCUUUUAAGAAAUAAGUGUGCAAGUUGUUGGUCCACGUCCAUCUGGCAUGCAUAUAAUUCUAGUAUCAACUGGUUGGAUCAUCUGAUGAUAUUGCAAUGAUAUUCUGAUGUUCUAUGUUGUUGAACUAUGUAGUAGAGGAGUUUGGUCAUACGUUUUGGUGACUUUCUUUAUUGAAUUUGUUGGUUUUCGUUAUUCUUCCACUCAUGCAAAAUUUAAAGUCAAUAUGUAAAGUGGUUAUACCAUUUUUUAUAAGUUGAGCCACCAUACUUGUUUCAAUUUUACUUGAAGAGAUGGAUUAACAUUUUUAUGCUGGAAGAUUGGCAAGAAGUUCUACUAGUGGGUUUUUUCAUAAUUUAAAGGUUCGUGUAGAUGUCCAACUACUUGAUUUAUAACUUAAUUAUUCAUGCCUUUUUAAUUGAAAUGUCUUGUUCCCAAGAGAAAGGUAGUAAUUUUAGUUUUUUCCCUGAAAGAUUUUGGAAAAUCAGACCAUUGAAUUUAUGAUUCUUAAAUGGGCCUUUGGUUGUAUAAAUACAUAGCUUCCCAUUAGGGAGGGAAUAAUCUUUUGUUCUGGUUGGAUAUAGGCCAAAAGAUUUAGCAUUGACUGCUACACCAA